GCCGUUGCUAUUGUUGAGAUUGGCGCGGAUUGAAAAUCCGCGUGUCACUGGUUCGAUUCCGGUCCCGGCACCA
This 73-nucleotide transfer RNA is filed under the name Devosia neptuniae. RNAcentral describes it as "tRNA-Phe". The record is from RNAcentral. Lineage: Bacteria; Pseudomonadati; Pseudomonadota; Alphaproteobacteria; Hyphomicrobiales; Devosiaceae.